This 253-nucleotide ribosomal RNA is filed under the name uncultured bacterium. RNAcentral describes it as "partial 16S ribosomal RNA". It matches the Rfam family "Bacterial small subunit ribosomal RNA", at positions 524 to 776 of the family's 1533-position model. The record is from RNAcentral.
UACGGGGGGGGUAAGCGUUGUCCGGAAUUAUUGGGCGUAAAGGGCUCGUAGGCGGUCUGUUGCGUCGGGAGUGAAAACUCAGGGCUUAACCCUGAGCCUGCUUCCGAUACGGGCAGACUAGAGGUAUGCAGGGGAGAACGGAAUUCCUGGUGUAGCGGUGAAAUGCGUAGAUAUCAAGAGGAACACCAGUGGCGAAGGCGAGUCCCUGGACAACACCUGACACUGAGGCACGAAAGCCGGGGGAGCAAACAGG